This 114-nucleotide ribosomal RNA is filed under the name Gallionella sp. Lineage: Bacteria; Pseudomonadati; Pseudomonadota; Betaproteobacteria; Nitrosomonadales; Gallionellaceae. The record is from RNAcentral.
UCUGACGACCAUAGCGAGUUGGCCCCACUCCUUCCCAUCCCGAACAGGACAGUGAAACGACUCCGCGCCGAUGAUAGUGUGCUUUUUGCAUGUGAAAGUAGGCCAUCGUCAGAC